Long non-coding RNA from Dermacentor silvarum, 292 nucleotides. RefSeq lists it as uncharacterized. The transcript has 4 exons. Lineage: Eukaryota; Metazoa; Arthropoda; Arachnida; Ixodida; Ixodidae. The record is from RefSeq and is a predicted model, not a curated record.
GAGAAUGGUGGAGCUGGCGAGACAUCUUUGAGUGGCCAUCCAGCUGAGAGACCUGCAGUUACGCUUACGACAACGGCGUCUGGUGGUGCAACAUCUUCAACUGUGUCCACGGGCGAAGGUUCUGCAGCGGCAACGCUGCCAGCAGCGCCGGCUGGUGUGUCCACGGGCGGAGGUUCUCCUGCAACAGCGGUGCCAGCAGCCCCAGCUGUCGUUCACCUAGGAAGACAACCAUCUUCGACUGGUUCCACAGGCGGGACGUUUUCAACUACCUCUCUAUCGCCAACACUGAGCG